This 154-nucleotide unclassified non-coding RNA is filed under the name soil metagenome. Its description in RNAcentral is "partial internal transcribed spacer 1". The record is from RNAcentral.
UUGAAUCAACGGUCUUGGAGUCCUCUUUGGAGUUGAUUCCUCGACCUUACCUACCCCUGUGCACUGUAAAUGUUUUUUGGGACGGUGCAGCAAUGCCUGUCCCAGCAGUACAAACUACAUGUAAUUUGUUCUGAACUGAACCAAAGAAUCGUAA